RNAcentral lists this ribosomal RNA (301 nucleotides) under uncultured bacterium. RNAcentral describes it as "partial 16S ribosomal RNA". It matches the Rfam family "Bacterial small subunit ribosomal RNA", at positions 509 to 807 of the family's 1533-position model. The record is from RNAcentral.
CAGCAGCCACGGUAAUACGAAGGGUGCAAGCGUUACCCGGAAUUACUGGGCGUAAAGCGCGCGUAGGUGGUUCGCCAAGUUGGAUGUGAAAUCCCCGGGCUCAACCUGGGAACUGCAUCCAAAACUGGCGAGCUAGAGUAUGGUAGAGGGUGGUGGAAUUUCCUGUGUAGCGGUGAAAUGCGUAGAUAUAGGAAGGAACAUCAGUGGCGAAGGCGACCACCUGGACUGAUACUGACACUGAGGUGCGAAAGCGUGGGGAGCAAACAGGAUUAGAUACCCGAGUAGUCCCUGUCUCUUAUAC